AGCGGUGGAGCAUGUGGUUUAAUUCGAAGCAACGCGAAGAACCUUACCAGGUCUUGACAUCCUUUGACCACUCUGGAGACAGAGCUUUCCCUUCGGGGACAAAGUGACAGGUGGUGCAUGGUUGUCGUCAGCUCGUGUCGUGAGAUGUUGGGUUAAGUCCCGCAACGAGCGCAACCCUUGAUUUUAGUUGCCAGCAUUUAGUUGGGCACUCUAAAGUGACUGCCGGUGCAAGCCGGAGGAAGGUGGGGAUGACGUCAAAUCAUCAUGCCCCUUAUGACCUGGGCUACACACGUGCUACAAUGGAUAGUACAAAGGGUCGCGAAGCCGCGAGGUGGAGCUAAUCCCAUAAAACUAUUCUCAGUUCGGAUUGUAGGCUGCAACUCGCCUACAUGAAGCCGGAAUCGCUAGUAAUCGUGGAUCAGCAUGCCACGGUGAAUACGUUCCCGGGCCUUGUACACACCGCCCGUCACACCACGAGAGUUUGUAACACCCGAAGUCGGUAGGGUAACCUUUAUGGAGCCAGCCGCCGAAGGUGGGACAGAUAAUUGGGGUGAAGUCGUAACAAGGUAGCCGUAUCGGAAGGUGCGGCUGGAUCACCUCCUUUCUAAGGAA
RNAcentral lists this ribosomal RNA (612 nucleotides) under Listeria monocytogenes. RNAcentral's name for it is "bacterial SSU rRNA". It matches the Rfam family "Bacterial small subunit ribosomal RNA", at positions 928 to 1533 of the family's 1533-position model. Lineage: Bacteria; Bacillati; Bacillota; Bacilli; Caryophanales; Listeriaceae. The record is from RNAcentral.